AAGCUUUUCUCUUGCAGGACCGUGUUAUGCUGGAUAUUUCUGUGAUCCUGGCUCCACACAGCCAGACCUCAGGCAUUGCCCCGCUGGCUUCUACUGCCCUGAAGGCUCUGAAUUCCCAAUUCCCUGCAGUCCUGGAAGCUUCAGCCCUGUCAGUGGGAAAGGGCAGUCAGCAGACUGUCAGCUCUGCCCAGCUGGGCACUCCUGCAGUGGUCCUGCAGCACAAACUCCUGAGCUGUGCCCUGCUGGGCACUUCUGUCCUCCAGGGACCACCUUCAGCACGGAGCACCCGUGUCCCAAGGGCACCUUUGGCCCCAGGACUGGUGCCACCAGUGAGUCUGACUGCGAGCCCUGCCCAGCAGGUGAGCAGGGACUGGGCACAGAAAAUGUGCAAAGCAUUUCUCUUUUCACCUUCCUGACCCCUCCACUGCCGUUCUGUGCAGCCCCUUCCCCUGACGUGGCUCUCUGCUUCUUUCAGGGAUGUAUUGCUCAGCUCCAGGGCUAUCCCAGCCAUCUGGAUUUUGUUACCCAGGCUACCACUGUGCCAAGGGAGCCAUCAGCCCAGCCCCCUUCAAGCACAGGGUGAGUGCCAGGCAGCAGCAGCACAGUCAUCUGGGCACCAGGAUGGCCUGUCACACUCUCCUGGUGACACCAGGAUGGCCUGUCACACCCUCCUGGCUGCUGGUGGCACCAGGAUGGCCUGUCACACUCUCCUGCUGACACCAGGAUGGCCUGUCACACUCUCCUGGCUGCUGGAGGGAUGUUUUCCAAGCAUUUCUGCUCCCUCAGCUGCAGGGAUGUGCUGCUCCUGAUGUCUGCUGGAAUACCUG
Molecule: long non-coding RNA, 827 nt
Filed under: Cyanistes caeruleus (blue tit)
Lineage: Eukaryota; Metazoa; Chordata; Aves; Passeriformes; Paridae
Description: lncRNA (ENSCCEG00000007441.1)
Source: RNAcentral